Molecule: ribosomal RNA, 254 nt
Filed under: uncultured bacterium
Lineage: Bacteria
Description: partial 16S ribosomal RNA
Rfam family: Bacterial small subunit ribosomal RNA
Source: RNAcentral
UACGUAGGGUGCGAGCGUUGUCCGGAAUUAUUGGGCGUAAAGAGCUCGUAGGCGGUGUGUCGCGUCGGCCGUGAAAACCUGCAGCUUAACUGUGGGCUUGCGGUCGAUACGGGCAUCACUGGAGUUCGGCAGGGGAGACUGGAAUUCCUGGUGUAGCGGUGGAAUGCGCAGAUAUCAGGAGGAACACCGGUGGCGAAGGCGGGUCUCUGGGAAGUAACUGACGCUGAGGAGCGAAAGCGUGGGGAGCGAACAGG